RNAcentral lists this unclassified non-coding RNA (145 nucleotides) under soil metagenome. RNAcentral's name for it is "partial internal transcribed spacer 1". The record is from RNAcentral.
UAAUAAGUGUUUUAUGGCACUUUUUAAAUCCAUAUCCACCUUGUGUGCAAUGUCAGUCGAUCUUCUUCAUGGAGAUCGACCAAACAUCAACCUUUAUCUUUUAACAUCUUUGUCUGAAAAUAUUAUGAAUAAACAAUUCAAAAUA